RNAcentral lists this ribosomal RNA (1341 nucleotides) under uncultured bacterium. RNAcentral's name for it is "16S ribosomal RNA". It matches the Rfam family "Bacterial small subunit ribosomal RNA", at positions 28 to 1381 of the family's 1533-position model. The record is from RNAcentral.
GACGAACUCUGGCGGCGUGCUUAACACAUGCAAGUCGAACGGUAAGGCUCCAGCUUGCUGGGGUACACGAGUGGCGAACGGGUGAGUAACACGUGGGUGACCUGCCCUGCACUUCGGGAUAAGCCUGGGAAACUGGGUCUAAUACCGGAUAGGACCGCACCGUGAGGGUGUGGUGGAAAGUUUUUUCGGUGUGGGAUGGGCCCGCGGCCUAUCAGCUUGUUGGUGGGGUAAUGGCCUACCAAGGCGGCGACGGGUAGCCGGCCUGAGAGGGUGGACGGCCACAUUGGGACUGAGGCACGGCCCAGACUCCUACGGGAGGCAGCAGUGGGGAAUAUUGCACAAUGGGCGGAAGCCUGAUGCAGCGACGCCGCGUGGGGGAUGACGGCCUUCGGGUUGUAAACUCCUUUCACCAUCGACGAAGGGUUUCUGACGGUAGAUGGAGAAGAAGCACCGGCUAACUACGUGCCAGCAGCCGCGGUAAUACGUAGGGUGCGAGCGUUGUCCGGAAUUACUGGGCGUAAAGAGCUCGUAGGUGGUUUGUCGCGUCGUCUGUGAAAUUCCGGGGCUUAACUCCGGGCGUGCAGGCGAUACGGGCAUAACUUGAGUACUGUAGGGGAGACUGGAAUUCCUGGUGUAGCGGUGAAAUGCGCAGAUAUCAGGAGGAACACCGGUGGCGAAGGCGGGUCUCUGGGCAGUAACUGACGCUGAGGAGCGAAAGCAUGGGGAGCGAACAGGAUUAGAUACCCUGGUAGUCCAUGCCGUAAACGGUGGGCGCUAGGUGUGGGUUUCCUUCCACGGGAUCCGUGCCGUAGCUAACGCAUUAAGCGCCCCGCCUGGGGAGUACGGCCGCAAGGCUAAAACUCAAAGGAAUUGACGGGGGCCCGCACAAGCGGCGGAGCAUGUGGAUUAAUUCGAUGCAACGCGAAGAACCUUACCUGGGCUUGACAUAUACAGGAUCGCGCCAGAGAUGGUGUUUCCCUUGUGGCUUGUAUACAGGUGGUGCAUGGUUGUCGUCAGCUCGUGUCGUGAGAUGUUGGGUUAAGUCCCGCAACGAGCGCAACCCUUGUCUUAUGUUGCCAGCACGUUGUGGUGGGGACUCGUAAGAAACUGCCGGGGUUAACUCGGAGGAAGGUGGGGAUGACGUCAAAUCAUCAUGCCCCUUAUGUCCAGGGCUUCACACAUGCUACAAUGGUCAGUACAGUGGGUUGCCAGUCCGUGAGGGCGAGCUAAUCCCGCAAAGCCGGUCUCAGUUCGGAUCGGGGUCUGCAACUCGACCCUGUGAAGUCGGAGUCGCUAGUAAUCGCAGAUCAGCAACGCUGCGGUGAAUACGUUCCCGGGCCU